UACGUAGGUGGCAAGCGUUGUCCGGAUUUACUGGGCGUAAAGAGCGCGCAGGCGGUCUUGCAAGUCGCGUGUGAAAGCCCCCGGCUCAACUGGGGAGGGUCACGCGAUACUGAUCGACUCGAAGGCAGGAGAGGGUAGUGGAAUUCCCGGUGUAGUGGUGAAAUGCGUAGAUAUCGGGAGGAACACCAGUGGCGAAGGCGACUACCUGGCCUGUUCUUGACGCUGAGGCGCGAAAGCUAGGGGAGCAAACGGG
This 253-nucleotide ribosomal RNA is filed under the name uncultured bacterium. RNAcentral's name for it is "partial 16S ribosomal RNA". It matches the Rfam family "Bacterial small subunit ribosomal RNA", at positions 524 to 776 of the family's 1533-position model. The record is from RNAcentral.